This 1219-nucleotide long non-coding RNA is filed under the name Pandoravirus dulcis. RNAcentral's name for it is "putative ncRNA". The record is from RNAcentral.
GGCCGCCGCCGACGAGGGCCGUCAUGUACUCGAUGAGCGUGAAGAGGUCAAUGAUGCCCAGGCGCCGCACGGCGGGUCGGUAGUCGUCCAUGUCGGUGACAUAGUCUUCGUGGCCUAGAGAGUCCUCGGCGUCCACGUCGUCUGUGUUUUCGGCGGCUUCAGACUCGGCGGUGUCCUCCAUCCGUUGCUGGCAGUCGGCGGCGUCGCCAGCGGCUGUCGUCUCGCCUUCGCCGUCCCUGUCCUCGCCCUCUUCUUCAGGGACGAGCAUGCGCCGUCUCUUUUUGGGGGGCAAGGCCAACCCCGUCCCGUCGUCGUCGGGUUUGGCGGCGUCGGCGGCAGACUCGACAGUGUCUUGGUCGUCGACGGGGGUCUCGUCAUCGGGCUGCUCCUCUUGCCGAGGUCGCUUGUUGUUUGUCGUCUGGUCUUCUUCUACUUGGGCUGCCUCUUGAUCCAUGGCAUCGUCGGCGGGCGGCAACGGGAUGUCCACAGCGCCGACGGUCGGCGGGGCGGCGAGGGCGGCACCGUCGUCAGCGCCGGAGGCGGGUUCGAUGGCGACAGUCUCUUCGACCGUCUCGGACGGGACGUGCGGCGCGGGGUCCGUGUCGAGGGCAGACUCUGGCAAGGCCAAGUCUCUUGCGCCAGCGUCCUCUGCGGGCAGUUGGGCGUCGUCUGUCGACUGGGUCGGCGGCGACGACGCCGAGGCCGCUACAUUGUUGGCGACGGCGGUCACGGCCACGGCAGGCGCGUCCUCGGCGACCUCCAUGCGGACCUCCUCGUUGAAAGCAAACGGUUCCUGUGCAGUGACGGCCUCCUCCAAAGGAACCGAGGCAGAGUCGGUCUGCACGGGGACGCUGUCGGCGGGGUCGAUCGUGGCAGACGAGGGCUCGGGGGGCGGCGCGGCAACGGCCGUGAGACCGCGCUUGGUUCUCUUGGCAAGGCGACGCUUGGUGAGGGCAACGGCAGACAUGUUGGUCACGUGUUUCUUUUGUCCUGUUUUUGCUCUAGGCCUACUCCGUGGUCGGUUGCUGGGCGAGUCGAUAAAGGAAUGUGUUUUUGUCUUGUCGUCCUUGUUUAUAUGUUUUGCCUGUGACCAAUGCUCUUUUUGUGACGACAAUUUUCUUUUUUAGGUUAACGCAGAUCGGGGUUUUUGCAUCAAUCUUUUCUUCGUCUUUUUUUCUUUUUGCUUUUUCGGCACGUCAUGCUGCCGGUGUGCGCGAAC